RNAcentral lists this ribosomal RNA (421 nucleotides) under uncultured bacterium. Its description in RNAcentral is "bacterial SSU rRNA". It matches the Rfam family "Bacterial small subunit ribosomal RNA", at positions 355 to 774 of the family's 1533-position model. The record is from RNAcentral.
UAAGGAAUAUUGGUCAAUGGACGCAAGUCUGAACCAGCCAUGCCGCGUGAAGGAUGAAGGUCCUCUGGAUUGUAAACUUCUUUUAUCUGGGACGAAAACGGGAUUUUUAUCUCAAUUGACGGUACCAGAGGAAUACGCACCGGCUAACUCCGUGCCAGCAGCCGCGGUAAUACGGAGGGUGCGAGCGUUAAUCGGAAUUACUGGGCGUAAAGCGUGCGCAGGCGGUUUUGUAAGACAGAUGUGAAAUCCCCGGGCUUAACCUGGGAACUGCGUUUGGGACUGCAAGGCGGGAGUACGGCAGAGGGGGGUGGAAUUCCACGUGUAGCAGUGAAAUGCGUAGAGAUGUGGAGGAACACCGAUGGCGAAGGCAGUCCCCUGGGCCUGUACUGACGCUCAUGCACGAAAGCGUGGGGAGCAAACA